This 265-nucleotide ribosomal RNA is filed under the name uncultured bacterium. RNAcentral's name for it is "partial 16S ribosomal RNA". It matches the Rfam family "Bacterial small subunit ribosomal RNA", at positions 57 to 305 of the family's 1533-position model. The record is from RNAcentral.
GCAAGUCGAACGAUGAAACUUAAAUGAUUUCUUCGGAAUGAAAUUAAGUGAAUUAGUGGCGAACGGGUGAGUAACACGUGAGUAACCUGCCUUACACAAGGGGAUAGCCUUUGGAAACGAAGAAUAAUACCCUAUAAAGUCAAAAUAUCGCAUGAUAUAGUGACCAAAGAUUUAUCGGUGUAAGAUGGACUUGCGUCUGAUUAGCUAGUUGGUGAGAUAAAAGCCCACCAAGGCGACGAUCAGUAGCCGGCUUGAGAGAGUGUAC